GUGAGACCUCAUGUCAAAGCCCUCAAUGCCCUAGAACUCACUCUGCAUCUCAGGCUAUAUUUGAACUUUCUUCGGUCUUCUUGAGUCUUAUAGGAGUUUGCCACUGGGUGCAGACAAUAAAAGGACAGUCUGGUCUAAGGGUGUGAUGACAAGAACGCCUCCAAACGGGGACCCAGGAGCUGGAAGUCAUCACAGCAUCCUUUGGACCAGUGACUGCAUCUCUGGCUAGAGACGAUCCUCUCACAACACGGAAUGCAGGGUAACUGGGUCACACUGAAUAUGGUUUCAUUGCUCUCUGUCCUUCUCAACACAUGAGGCCCAAGUCUGGAAUCUCAGUGACUGUGCUGUGCUUCACUUCUUCCUAUCUGAACUCUGAAGCUUUUGCAAGGCAUUUAACCACACGUGCCUUAGAUUCUCCAUCUGCAAUACAAGUGGAUCCAGUAGGGUCUGUAUAUUUUCUUUCAGUUCUGAUUUUUUUUGAGUGUCAGAUGUUUGUUUGUUUGUUUGUUUGUUUUUUGAGACAGGGUUUCUCUGUGUAGCCCUGGCUGUCCUGGAACUCACUCUGUAGACCAGGCUGGCUUCGAACUCAGAAAACUGCCUGCCUCUGCCUCCCAAGUGCUAGGAUUAAAGGCAUGCGCCACCACGCCUGGCUUUAAGUGUCAGAUUUUAUUUCUUGCAUACAUACAUAAAUACUUGCAUUUAUAAUACCUUCAUAUGUGCACACACAUUAUUUUGCUUGUGAAUAUUUAAUUUUUCAAUGUCAUUCACUGAAGAGAUUGUUCUGUUUUUCUGACCCUGUGUCUCUUGGAGGCAAUAUAUUAUUUGGCUUCAAAAUAACUACAAAGUUGUGGUUAUCAGUUCUGAUUUUUAAUUUCUGGAGAGUUUUAAAUUCGGUUAAGGCUCACUGAAAUGAGUAUCAGUAAAAAGAACUUACUUUCAAGAAUUUUCUUAAAUUAUGUACGUAGGUCAAUAUAUGCAUCAUGAGUCUUGUUAAUUGUCUUCAUUGUUCAUGUGUUAUUCUCCCUCUAGCAAGAUGACAUUAAAAUGUCCCAUUGCAAAGUUUAAUGUUGCUUUUGUUUUGUUUUGUUUUUCUGGCAGACUUUGAGAGAUAGUAAUCGACUCAAUUAUCUAGAUAGAUGAUAUGUUCUAUUAUGUAUGUGGUAUAGUUCACAUAGGAAUUCUUGAGAGAUAAUUGAACAGUAUUUCAAUAUAUGGCACUUUCUAUUUUCUAUGCUUUACCCAGCUUCUACGGACAGUUGUCUUGUCUCACCACUUUGCCCAAGUGUUUUGUAAACUCUUUAUAUUUCUGGUCAUUUUCAAGUAAUACAUUUCAUGAACCCAUUAAAUGUUUUUGAGGUACUA
Long non-coding RNA from Mus musculus (house mouse), 1362 nucleotides. RefSeq annotates it as predicted gene, 54193. Lineage: Eukaryota; Metazoa; Chordata; Mammalia; Rodentia; Muridae. The record is from RefSeq and is a predicted model, not a curated record. The transcript has 2 exons.